This 481-nucleotide ribosomal RNA is filed under the name uncultured bacterium. RNAcentral describes it as "bacterial SSU rRNA". It matches the Rfam family "Bacterial small subunit ribosomal RNA", at positions 28 to 507 of the family's 1533-position model. The record is from RNAcentral.
GAUGAACGCUGGCGGCGUGCCCUAAUACAUGCAAGGUCGGACGGAUGUAGCAAUACAUUAGUGGCGAACGGGUGAGUAACACGUAGGUGACCUGCCCUAAAGAGGGGAAUACCACUUCGAAAGGAGUGACAAAACCGCAUAAACUUAUAGAGAUCAGAAGGCUAUAAGGAAAAGAGCGAUCUACUUUAGGAGGGGCCUGCGGCCCAUCAGCUAGUUGGUAGAGGUAACGGCCUACCAAGGCGAAGACGGGUAGGGGACCUGAGAGGGUGAUCCCCCACAAUGGAACUGAAACACGGUCCAUACACCUGCGGGUGGCAGCAGUAGGGAAUAUUGCUUAAUGGGCGAAAGCCUGAAGCAGCAACGCCGCGUGGACGAAGAAGGCCUUCGGGUUGUAAAGCUCUUUCGGCUGGGAAGAAAUCGCAUCUCCUAAUACGGGGUGUGGAUGACGGUACCAGCAUAAGAAGCACCGGCUAACUACGUG